UAAGAGGAUUAACCCCCACACUGGUACUGAGACACGGCCCAGACUCUUAGGGGAGGCAGCAGUGGGAAAUAUUGGGCAAUGGGGGAAAGCCUGACCCAGCAACGCCGCGUGAAGGAUGAAGGUCUUCGGAUUGUAAACUUCUUUGAUUAGGGAAGAAUUUUUGACCUACCUAAAGAACAAGUCACGGCUAACUACGUGCCAGCAGCCGCGGUAAUACGUAGGUGACAAGCGUUAUCCGGAUUUACUGGGUGUAAAGGGCGUGUAGGCGGUUUUGCAAGUCAGAUGUGAAAUUCCCAGGCUUAACCUGGGCGCUGCAUCUGAAACUGCAAGACUUGAGUACUGGAGAGGAUAGUGGAAUUCCUAGUGUAGCGGUAAAAUGCGCAGAUAUUAGGAGGAACACCGGUGGCGAAGGCGACUAUCUGGACAGUAACUGACGCUGAGGCGCGAAAGCGUGGGGAGCAAACAGGAUUAGAUACCCUGGUAGUCCACGCCGUAAACGAUCUGUACUAGGUGUAGGGGGUAUCGACUCCCCCUGUGCCGCAGUUAACACAUUAA
This 555-nucleotide ribosomal RNA is filed under the name uncultured bacterium. RNAcentral's name for it is "bacterial SSU rRNA". It matches the Rfam family "Bacterial small subunit ribosomal RNA", at positions 293 to 863 of the family's 1533-position model. The record is from RNAcentral.